UUGGAUUAGUUUCCCUGGCAGUGGCUGGCACCAAUGUUCCCUCUAAGCUGCGCAUGUGCACGGAUGUUCAGUAGACUGCCACGCAGCUCCCCGGGACUGCUGCGCAGUAGGAAUAUCAGCCCACACAUGAGUACAAAAUGUGUACAUUUCUAGACAUCUUUAAAAAGCGAGUCAGGUGCCCUGGAAGAGUUCAUCAAGAAGCUUGAUACCUUGAUAAGCUAAUGGCUCACCACUCAUCGUACUGGGCAACUUCAACCUCAGUGCUGCGCCAGGUGGCGACACACAUCUCUGAGUGCCUGCAGAUAUCUUAACUUGGAUGUUGGCCCACCACCUCAAGCUCAACAUCGACAAGAUGAAACUGAUUUUCCUCCUGGGGGAAGGCCUGCCCGCUCCAAGACCUCUCCAUCGUGGUUGCCAACUCCACAGUGUCUCACCCCCAGAGUAUAAAGAACCUUGGCUUGACCCUGAACAACACCCUGUCGUUUUCCUCAAACAUCAAAGCAGUGACUUGAGCUAUUCCACAUAUUUGUAUAGUUUGGUCAGACAUUAGACUACUUUCCAAUCUCAGUCCUCCACACCCAGUAUGAGACCAGAUGAAUUCCUCCACCUCUAAAGGCCCUUUCUCACCAAUUCAAACACAACUCUAUUGGUGUGAAAAGGCCUUAAGAAGGAAGUGUAUUACCCAUAGUGUAUAUUAUACUUACAGUAUAGCCUACUUAUAAAACACCCGAAAUUAUCAAUCUUCAAGCUUCCAUAAUAAAGUGAGACAGGAGACUGAGCUUUGUAAUCGACAUACAGUAUGUUUAUUCAUUUUUCUAUUUAGACGUUUUUGUUUCAUACAUUUCCCUCUGAAACAACUGUUUUUAAAAACAGUCAUAAAAAAAUACAGUCAGCUGGUGGGUCUACAUUAGUGACAGGAUUUUUUUUUUAAUUACUUGAGAAAAAUAAAUGUGUGAUUAUAGAAAUCCUACUUAAAGACAUGAUGUCUGUGAUUGAUGAAUUUCCUGUGGGAAUAUGGACAGAUACAGUGCCUUCAGGAAGUAUUCACACCCCUUGACUUUUUCCACAUUUUGUUGUGUAACAAAGUGGGAUUCAAUUGUAAUUUUUCUGUCAACAAUCUACACAAAAUACUCAUUAAAGUGGAAGAAACAUUUUAACAUUUGUAAAAAAAAAAACAUAUGAAAAACAAAACACUUACAUAUCUUGAUAACGUAACAUCCAACCCCCUGAGUCAAUACAUGUUAGAAUCAUGUUUGGCAGCAAUUACAGCUGUGAGUCUUUCUGGGUAAGUCUUUAAGCGCUUUCAACACCUGGAUUUUGCAACAUUUUCCCAUUAUUAUUUAAAAAAUCCUUAAAGCUCUAUCAAAUUGGUUGAUGAUCAUUGCAAGACAACCACUUUCAGGUCUUGCCAUAGACUUUCAAGCAGAUUUAAGUCAAAACUGUAUCUCGGCCACUCAGGAAUGUUCCCUGUCUUCUUGGUAAGUAACUCCAGUGUAUAUUUGGCCUUGUGUUUUAGGUUAUUGUCCUGCAGAAAGGUGAAUUUAGUAUCUCCCAGUAUCUGGUGGAAAGUAGACUGAACCAGGUUUUCUUCUUGGAUUUUGAUGUGCUUAGCUCCAUUCCGUUUCAUUUUACUCGGACAACUCCCCAGUCCUUAACGAUUACAAGCAUACCCAUAACAUGAUGCAGCCACCACUAUGCUUGAAAAUAUGGAGAGUGGUAUGCAGUAAUGUGCUGUACUGGAUUUGCCCCCAACAUAACACUUUGUAUUCAGGACAAAAAGUUCCUCGUUUUUACACUUUUUUUGCAGUAUUAUUUUAGUGCCUUUUUGCAAACAGGCUGCAUAUUUUUGAAUAUUUGUAGUCUGUACAGGCUUCCUUCUUUUCACUCUGUCAAUUAGGUUAGUAUUGUGGAGUUACUACAAUGUUGUGGAUACUGUACAUCCUCAGUUUUCUUCUUUCACAGCCAUUAAACUCUGUAACUGUUUAAACAUCACCAUUGGCCUCAUGGUGAAUUCCCUGAGAGGUUUCCUUCCUCUCCGGCAACUGAGUUAGGAAGGACGCCUGUAUCUUUGUAGUGACUGUGUGUAAUGAUAGUCAAUCCAAAGUGUAAAUAAUAACUUCACCAUGCUCAAAGGGAUAUAUUCAAUAUCUGCUUUUUUUUACCCAUCUACCAAUAGGUGUGCUUCUCUGCGAGGCAUUGGUUAACCUCCUUGGUCUUUGUGGUUAAAUCUGUGUUUUAAAUUCACUGCUUGACUGAGGGACCUUAAAGAUAAUUGUAUGUGUGGGGUACAGAGAUGAGGUAGUCAUUCAAAAAUCAUGUCAAGCACUAUUAUUGCACACAGAGUGAGUCCGUGCAACUUAUGUGACUUGUUAAGUACAGUUUUACUCCUGAACUUAUUUAGGCUUGCGAUAACAAAGUAGUUGAAUACUUAUUGACUUAAGAAAUUUAUUAUACAUUUUACACAUUUCGAAAAACAUAAUUCCUCUUUGCAAAUAUUUUAUAUUGUGUGUAGUCCAGCGACCCCAAAAAAUCUCAAUUUAAUCCAUUUUAAAUUCAAGCUGUAACACAGCAAAAUGUGGAAAAAGUAAAGGGGUGUUAAUGAUUUCGGAAGGCACUGUAUUAGCUAUUGAUUCCACAAUGUCAACUACAACUUCACUGAAUAGUCCGUUGUGGCCGCGGCCUCUAGAAAAUCCUCUGGAUGUCUGCUGCUGAAGGUCUGCAGGUAUAGAAGUAUUACAUUCCCAAACAGACAGCUGUUUAGUGGAAAUACUGACAAUGACAAACCAUGUCCCCGAAACACCAAUAAAAUAAAUACAGUUUCUGUAAAACUGUCUUUUCUCUGGAGUCCUUUUUGGUGAUUCCUGAAAUAGUGAUAUGUUCAAAAUAAACCCUUAUCAAAUCAGCUUUAUUUCAAUAAACAAUAUUCAAA
Salmo salar (Atlantic salmon) is the source of this 2929-nucleotide long non-coding RNA. RefSeq lists it as uncharacterized. The record is from RefSeq and is a predicted model, not a curated record. Lineage: Eukaryota; Metazoa; Chordata; Actinopteri; Salmoniformes; Salmonidae.